AUGGUGGCCAAAUGACGCGAGCUGCAGAAGUUAGCCGUCAAUAUCCUGUUCAGCAAACGACUCUUGAUGUCUGGAAUACUCCUUUGACUAACAAAUCCGACACUUCAUUGGGUACUCAGUCUUCACAGCAAAUAUUAACAAUGUCUUCAAAUGCUUAUGAAACCAGUCCGCUGACUAAUGGUGACCAAAAUACUCAAACUGCAGAAACUAGUCGUCAAUAUCCUGUUCAACAAAUGACUGUUGGUGUCAGGAAUGCGCCCCUGACCAACAAAUCUGACACUUCAUUGGUUACCCAGUCUUCACAGCAAGUAUUAAGGACGUCUUCAAUUGCUAGUGAAACUGAUCAGCUGACUAAUGGCGGCCAAAUAACGCAAGCUGCAGAAGUUAGUCGUCAAUAUCCUGUUCAGCAAAUGGCUCUUGAUGUCAGGAAUACUCCCUUGACUAACAAUUCCGACACUUUAUUGGCUACCCAGUCUUCACAGAAAGUAUUAAGGACGUCUUCAAUUGCUCAUGAAACCGGUCCGCUGACUAGUAGUGACCAAAUGACUUCUUCAAUUGCUCAUGAAACUGGUCCGCAGACUAAUGAUGACCAAAUGACGCAAGCUGCAGUAGUUAAUUGUCAAUGUCCCGUUCAUCAAAUGACUGUUGGUGUUAGGAAUACUCCUUUGACUAACAAAUCUGACACUUCAUUGGCUAAUCAGUCUUCACAGCAAGUAUUAAGGACGUCUUCAAUUGCUCAUGAAACCGGUCCGCUGACUAGUGGUGACCAAAUGACUUCUUCAAUUGCUCAUGAAACUGGUCCGCUGACUAAUGGUGACCAAAUG
This 824-nucleotide long non-coding RNA is filed under the name Medicago truncatula (barrel medic). RNAcentral's name for it is "long non-coding RNA (MTRU_LNC006124)". The record is from RNAcentral. Lineage: Eukaryota; Viridiplantae; Streptophyta; Magnoliopsida; Fabales; Fabaceae.